This 109-nucleotide unclassified non-coding RNA is filed under the name soil metagenome. RNAcentral's name for it is "partial internal transcribed spacer 1". The record is from RNAcentral.
UUGAUUGGUCGAAAGACCUUAUCAGAUUCGACCACCUCUGUGAACCGUUGACCUCCGGGUUAAUAAUCAAACAUCAGUGUAACGAACGUAAGAGUAUCUUAAUUAAACA